Molecule: ribosomal RNA, 468 nt
Filed under: uncultured bacterium
Lineage: Bacteria
Description: partial 16S ribosomal RNA
Rfam family: Bacterial small subunit ribosomal RNA
Source: RNAcentral
GACGAACGCUGGCGGCGUGCUUAACACAUGCAAGUCGUACGGAAAGGCCCUGCUUUUGUGGGGUGCUCGAGUGGCGAACGUGUGAGUAACACGUGAGUAACCUGCCCUUGACUUUGUGAUAACUUCAGGAAACUGGGGCUAAUACCGGAUAGGAGCUCCUGCUGCAUGGUGGGGGUUGGAAAGUUUCGGCGGUUGGGGAUGGACUCGCGGCUUGUCAGCUUGUUGGUGGGGUAGUGGCUUACCAAGGCUUUGACGGGUAGCCGGCCUGAGAGGGUGACCGGCCACAUUGGGACUGAGAUACGGACCAGACUCCUACGGGAGGCAGCAGGGGGGAAUAUUGCACAAUGGGCGGAAGCCUGAUGCAGCAACGCCGCGUGCGGGAUGACGGCCUUCGGGUUGUAAACCGCUUUCGCCUGUGACGAAGCGUGAGUGACGGUAAUGGGUAAAGAAGCACCGGCUAACUACGUG